Molecule: RNA transcript, 1343 nt
Organism: Papaver somniferum (opium poppy)
Lineage: Eukaryota; Viridiplantae; Streptophyta; Magnoliopsida; Ranunculales; Papaveraceae
Exons: 7
Source: RefSeq, a predicted model, not a curated record
AGUAGAUAGAUGAAAAAUUAGGGUUUCAAAAAUCAGAAUUUCUUCGUCUCUGACAAAAAUUAGGUGAAGGCUAUGCUGUAUCAAAUCAAAAUUAAAGGGUUAGGUUCUGUAGGAGUUGUUCUUGAAGGUUGAGACCUUCAAUUUUUGGAAUCUGUUGAAAAAUUUGUUGGAGAUGAACAGAGAGAACAAAUUGGUUCAGAUUCAGGGUUUUCUAUUGAAUCCGAGAAUAAAUUGAGAUUAGCAGAGGCACGAUGAUUAUCAUGGGUUUCUGAUUAACUCUUUCUCGCAUCCAUGAUUCAUUGAAAACCCUGACUGGAUUUGGGUUUGGAGUUUUGUUCAAUCCUCGUCAUAUUCAACAACAUUUUGAUGAUUUCUAUGAAGAUUUGUUUGAUGAUCUGAGCAAGUACGGAGAUUGAAAGUAUUAAUAUCAAUGACAAUUUGGCUGAUCAUAUGGUGGGGAAUGUUUAUGUUCAAUUUAGAGAGGAAGAAGAUGUUGCUAAUACUCUUAAGAAUUUGACGGGAAGGUUUUAUGCAGGGCGUCCUACAUUAUUGUUGAUUUCUCUCUUGUGACGGAUUUUCGUGAAGCUACCUGUAGGCAGUAUGAAGAGAAUACUUGUAAUCGAGGUGGAUAUUAUAACUUUAUGCAUUUGAAGAAGAUUAGCAGGGAAUUGAGGCGGCAAUUAUUUGGUAGGUAUCGUUCAAGGCAUAUCCACAGUAGAAGCAUAAGCUGCAGUCCUCACAUGCAUCGAAGUUAUGAAGAGCGUUCAUAUGGUGGUCAUGGUUAUGAUAGAAGGUUUAGUGAUCGGGGUAUUAGGAGGACUAGGAGCCGAAGUCCCGGAAGGUGAAACAGGAAGCUGGGAUUGACAGAGACUGGUGCUGUUGAUGACUGAGAUGUGAUAGUGUGUAUGGGAAUUUCAGUGAUGGGUUGAGCUGGAACUGCAAUGCCAGCGAAGAAAUACCAGCCUUCUUCAGCUGUUAUUAGCUUUUUCACUGCAGUUGUUGUUGAGGUACUUGGUGCUUUGAAGGUUAUAGAUACUGAUACCGUGCGAAAUGUUAUCCCCUUUGUACUUAAUGGAGUUGAUCUAAAUGCGAAUGGAGGCUCUAACCAAAAGGUGUUAAUUUCUAAGUAACCUCCAACUGCAUCUAUCCAAUCUGGGCAAAAAGAAGACUACAAGUUGUGGAGAUUCAGGAUUUGCUGGUUUGCUUUACAAUUGUAUCCAAGACACAUUAGAACCAUUAGAUAGGACUUGUAGACUUGGAUAUUUUUUUUAAAGUUAAGUGCUAACUGAUGAAUUGUACAAUGAAUAUUGAUUUUUACAUAAAUGGUCAUUUGGAUUUAUGGA